Cynoglossus semilaevis (tongue sole) is the source of this 3230-nucleotide long non-coding RNA. RefSeq lists it as uncharacterized. NCBI's taxonomy places the organism in Eukaryota, Metazoa, Chordata, Actinopteri, Pleuronectiformes, Cynoglossidae. The transcript has 7 exons. The record is from RefSeq and is a predicted model, not a curated record.
UCAGAUUGUGGAGUACAGUGUUUUCAUCUCUUUUUUUUUUUUCUAGCUGAAUCUCAAAAUCCUUUUGUAUUUGUAGCGUAGCUCAAGGUUGUUGUUUGUUUUGGUUUUUUUUUGUUUUUUUUAACGUGUCCUCUUGACUUCUGUCCUCUUGUCAUUCUCCGGAGUCUGUGGACUCUGUCCUCUUGUCUCUCACUCUCUAUCCCUUUCUGUUGUGGAUGUCCGUGGCCUCACUGUUGGCAGCCCUGCUGUGGAUUACAGUAAGUCAUAUUGAUCCUGAACAGUCGCAACGGUAAAGUGCUGGUGUCUGCAGCGUGAGGUCAUUUCACUCCGGUGAACUCUGCAGCCAGACAUGAGGACAGACAGGGUAUUGAACCACAGUGAUAAAUCAGCCAAAACUAUGUUCAUAUAUAUGUGCUAAUGGUGAAAUAUAUAUAUAUAUUUAUAUAUAUUUAUCAAAAAUGAUUCUGACAAUCAGAACCGACACUGACCAAACCGCUUUGUUGAUGUUCAUAUGCCGAGAAACCUGCUUUUUCUUUGAGCACUGCUGUGUGUGUGAAACAUUCAGGAAUGUCCGUUGCUCAUGUUUUAUACAUUUUCUAUACCAAAAAAAAAUGUAUAAAAUAUUUUUAAAGAAAACGAAAAAAAAAAGAAAAAGAAAACAUGAAUUAAAAACCCUCUCAAUUCACUGAAUCUCUGCUUUAUUUUUUGUUUUUAACGUUUUGUCGAAGGUGAAUUUCUUUUUGAAGAAGGUCAAUAACGAAGGUAAUGUCAUUGCUUUUGUGUUGUGUUUUUUUUUUUGAGUACACAAAAAUAGCCCAAAUAGGGUUAUUAAGUUACUCGUAAUGGACGAGGAAAGCCAAAAAAAAAUUGUAUUUUUUUUUUAACUCAAAAGCUCAUUUGAAAUUGGUUGAAAAUAGAAUCCAAAUAAUACGGUUUGAAUCGGAGUAAACACAAUAAAAAAAUAAGUCAUAUUUUUGAAAAGUAAAAGGUUGUAAAAAGGAACUGACUUUUUUUUUUACAUAUCCUGCAGACAGAUUGUUGUGAAAAGGAACAAAGUUUGAUGUUUCAGAGAUGUUUUUUUUUUUUCUAAGAAAACAAUGAGCCGACCGUCACUCGUAUGAUCCUUUGACACCGAGCACAGACGCACGGCAGGUAACGACGUUUUUUCUUUUCCUUGUAGUACUCUCUCUUCUCUGCUGCAGAACAGUUCCAGUUCCUCAGCCCCCUCUUCAUUUGCAAUCCAGUCUCACUCUCCUCUGCAAACUCACCCUUUUUCAUCUCCCGUCUCCCUCAUCUGUAUUGAGGGUAAACUGCGUCAGCUGCUCCACACCCAGCAUCCCACUCCCAAUUCCUUUCACCCUUUUGGUUAGUACUGACCAACCACCCCACCUCCACACUGACAGUAUUUGUUGUUAUGGUGAUGAGUUGAUGGUUUGGAAAGUAAAACAGUUCAGAUGUUUUUUUAUAAAGCUGUAAUUUCUAAUUUCAUGUUUCAGAAUUACAUUUUUAACUUGUGUCAAACUCAAGGUCCGGGGUCCAAAUUUGGGCCCGCUGAGUCAUUUUGUAUGGCCUGCACUCUUACAGUUACAACUAACCCUUCUGUGAGCUCGGUCUGUUUCCUGUUCCUGCUGUCUGCUGUGGGGAGGUCCCGCCUGCUUCCUACCAAACGUAACACCGUCGAGAGGCGGCACUUUUUUUUUUUUUUUUUUUGCUGAUGUGGCUCCCCUCCUCUGAUUGGAAAAUAAGUUUGACAUCGCCCUGUUUUAACCGAUCUGCGUCUGGGUCCUCCCUCCCUGGUGGUUUCAGUAGCUACGUAAACAAGCUCGUCUUGAUCCGGAUGGACUGGAUAAUGCUGGCAACAUUGGAACAAAGAUGACUUGACUUGAGGGUCAGACGGAGGUGGAGCUGAGCAGGAGGCCGGCCUGACGAACGUCAACACGACAGUCGCUGACAGCAGGAUGAUUCCGGACAUCACGGGCGAAACGUUGACCUGCGACCUCCGUGUCGGCAGGUUCAUUCAGCUCGAGAUGAUGGGGGUCAGAGUUUCUCACCACUCAGAGGAGAAGGAUGAAUCCAAUGGAUCGGCAUGUUUUGGCAGAUCUCCCAGAUCUUUGAAUCCUGAAGGAAGUCCAGGUUAACCACAGGUUCCUCUGCGGGAACCCACACCUGAGAGUCCUCCACCUUGAGGUCAUCUGUCUCAUCUGUCUUCUGCUGGGAGAAAGAGGAAACUCGGUCUACAGCAACACAUUGUUUACACGGCAGCUGUGGUUUUUCCUCCCUCAGCCCUGGAGCUUUUAAAUAUUACACCCAACAACACAGAGGAGGGGGCCGGAUUUGUUAUGGAGUCUAACAGGUGGUGGAGUGGAGGUUGCAAAAGAGAGGCGUGACCACGCGGGGGAAAAAUGGCAGAAGAAGAGUUAUUACCAUGAACAGCACAUUAAAACAGCCGUGUGGGAUUAUUUUGGCUUCUGAAGGAAAUGACCAGUGGAUGACGACCUGACAGCAUAUAAAACAUGCCAUGAAAAAUGCGGUGGAAGGAGGAAAUACAUCCAAUAUAUUUCAUCACCUGCAGGACAACCAUCCAACUUUGUUCGCCAAAGUAAAGGUAAAUACACAAUACUUGGAUUAAAUUAUGCCAAUGUUUUCUGAACGUAACAUUGAAUCGGUAGAACAUUCAACGUAAGCGUGUCAUUUGCAAUUAAUUGUUUCCGAGUACGAAACGGGUACGGAAACGUGCGUUCACCUAAUAUUACAGUAUACGUCACCUAUUUGAACAUAUCGUGAGGGCAAUUACUUUUUUAAAAUUGCAUUUUAGUUUGUCUUUUUUUUUUUGUCGGACAGUUUCCGGGUCAGUGAGCAGUGACCUGUUCUCAGUGUUCUCAGUCAGUGAACAUAUAGCAUUGGUUCCUUUAGCUUUUUCCAAUGAGUAAACGUAGGGUUUUUGCUUCCACUAUGGGAUAUCUGUUUAAUUUAUUAUUAUUAUUUGUCUAUAUCAGGUAUAAAUAUUAGGUCAUAAUUAAUUAAUAAUUUAAUAAUAAUUUGUGUAAUUGACUUUAGGGAAAAGUGGAGGUCAUGUAGCACUUCAUAUCUGUUUUCUCUGAGAGAAAUACAUGAUUUUUAUUUUAUUACAAUGGGAUUAUUGUCGAUUUUCUCGUACUUUUUGGUUUCUUGAAUUUGUUGCAAUGUAUUUUUGUUAUGUUGUUGUUAAAUAAAGGAAACUUUAAGACCUA